AGGCGUGAAAAUAGCAAAACACGAAACUUACUAUAUUAUAAUCGGAGUUAAGUACGAUUCAUACCGGAAAAUGAGUUCAAAAGGUACGAAAAGAAAAUGUUACGGUUUAAUAUUACAUCACCAAAAGAAAACCCCAAAAUAUAUGGCAUCGUUCAUAGGUCCUCGUACAACUUCCAACAAAAUCCCGGGCAAGACCUCGAUCCGCUACUCGACCCAUCCCGGUUGAGAACUACUACUACCUGCAAUUAAAAGACAUCUAUAUGAGCUAUAAAGCUCAGUAAGA
RNAcentral lists this long non-coding RNA (283 nucleotides) under Erythranthe guttata (spotted monkey flower). RNAcentral's name for it is "long non-coding RNA (EGUT_LNC001127)". Lineage: Eukaryota; Viridiplantae; Streptophyta; Magnoliopsida; Lamiales; Phrymaceae. The record is from RNAcentral.